This 373-nucleotide ribosomal RNA is filed under the name uncultured organism. Its description in RNAcentral is "bacterial SSU rRNA". It matches the Rfam family "Bacterial small subunit ribosomal RNA", at positions 526 to 896 of the family's 1533-position model. The record is from RNAcentral.
CGUAGGGAGCAAGGCGUUGUCCGGAAUCAUUGGGCGUAAAGCGCGCGUAGGUGGCCCGGUAAGUCCGCUCUGAAAGUCAAAGGCUCAACCUUUGAAAGCGGGUGGAUACUGCCAGGCUAGAGUCCGGAAGAGGCGAGUGGAAUUCCUGGUGUAGCGGUGGAAUGCGCAGAUAUCAGGAGGAACACCAACGGCGAAGGCAGCUCGCUGGGACGGUACUGACACUGAGGCGCGAAAGCGUGGGGAGCAAACAGGAUUAGAUACCCUGGUAGUCCACGCCGUAAACGAUGGGAACUAGGUGUGGGAGGUGUCGACUCCUCCCGUGCCGGCGCUAACGCAUUAAGUUCCCCGCCUGGGGAGUACGGCCGCAAGGCUA